CCAACCGUGCCAAGCUACUGUGACCCGGAAUGGAGGAUGCUGAUGGAGCAGUGUUGGGCUCCUGACCCAUUUGUUCGACCUUCCUUCCCAGAGAUAGCCAGACGUCUCCGCACCAUGUCCACCUCUGCAGCAAAAGCCCACGCGGCCAAUCACCAAGUCCACAAGUAAUCUACUAUAUGUUCAUUAUUACCGGUACGUAAUUCCCUCUUGUAAAAGUUUGUGUAUAAAAAACAUCGCUGCGUCUUCUUUCGGAUUUGAGAGUGUUGAUUUGUACAAGAAGUCCUAAACAUGUAUCCAUAUUUGUAUAGCCAUUAUUAUUAUUAUUAUUGAGUGUAAGUAAAUUGGUUUUGGUACGAUGACAUUGCUCUUCUUCUGUAAUUUUGAGUUUUUUUCUUCCAAUGAAAAAGCAAUCUAGUAAAUGCAUGAUUUUUGGUAUAAUAAUUUUAUACAAAUGUCUUAAGAUUUAUUCAUUUUUACUGCAUGAAACUAGUACACCAUCAGCCAUUUCUGCAUUUUGUAGUUUUUAAAAUUUAUUUCGUCCAGUUUAAAACUGAAAAUUAUUAAUUUUGUGUAAUCAAAUAUGAAUUUAUAAAGUAUAUUAGUUUUUUAUACAUAGAAAAUCUGACCGACAUUCAAAAGGCUCCCUUGAGGAACAUUGAAGAUUACACUAUGUUCUCUACAAAUCUUCCUUAGAAACGCGUACACAUAGUCAAUGGCUAUCUUCUUGUAGAACCUCGCUUGCCUCCUAGCUCGAAUCACCGUGUUCCCCAUUAUGUGCACCACUCCCGCAUCCCUGCACCUAUUUAUGAACUCCAGCUCGUCUACUCCACCGCUUAUAUAAUGAGGUUGGAUGUAUUAAAUGGUAAUACCAUUGCUUAUAUGCGGAAGGUUUACUCGUAGCCCACCUGCAACUGAGGGAAACACUUUAAUUUAUGAUCCAAUCACUAGCUUUGGGAGCACUCAUAUGUUCAAGUUGCAUGUACUAAGGCCUUGAUUGUUUCAACCGUAAGAUUUAAACUUCAUUUUCAAGAAACAUAACAGUUUUUUCAUUUUUUCAUUAAAAAAAGUCAAAGGUUCGAUCGUGCGACGGAUUACUUGGAAUGAUAAUUGAUUGUUUGUUUAUGCUGUCGAUGCGAUGUCGUGGCCCUCGUGGGUUCAUUGGUUCGAAACUCUACAACGAAAAGUUUGCUGUAAAGACAUAUCCUGAUGACUGAUGUAAAGUUGGACAAACGUUUUCUCCUUUCCACCUUCUUCUUUCAACAAAUUAAAUUAAAUUAAUAAAAUUAAUUGAUGUUUCUAUAAAAAUCUUGAUUUACAUUUCAAUCGUUCUAUAAGGUUAACGAUAAAACAAAUCUUGUUACUAUGAUAUUUCAAGUUUCCUUUCCAAUUUAAUGAUCUCAUCAUUAAUUUAAAAUAUAUUUUACGUUUUGAUGAUUCCACCAUAUCAUCAAACUUUUUAUGAAGCUAUAUAUAUUUUUUUUGUCAACAUGAAGCUAUAUUUUAAUGGUGAAGAAUAAAAUAAAAGUAAGUUAAAAAAAUUAAGAAGGAAAUAAAAUAAGUUGUGUUUUUACCUUUUACUUUAAUGUUAUGUAGCAUAAAAAUCGAACGGUGAACCUGGAAUUCGAUUCCCGUUAGCCACCAGAUAAUUUAACAUUGCAUUUAUGGGAUCUACGGAAUAGUCGCUAGAUACUGUAAUUAAUUCAAAAAAAAUUCUUUGGCAUGUGCAUAUAUAUAGAUUGAAAAUAUUUGAUCUUUUCGUUUUUCUCGUUUGAUUGGUACAUUAGUAACAUUACUAAAAGUAGUAAAGCGUAUAACAUUUUAAUCCAAUUUACUAGGUUAAGACUAGCGCUUUGUGUAUGGUGAAUGUAUUUUAACGAUAACAAUAUUACAUAUUAAUAAAUAGGUUGCAAAAUAUAUAAUUAUAGGUAAAGAUCUACGUUUUGCGCAAAAUGAAUGUGUAUAUAUAAAAUAAUUAAAUUAAAUUUAUAUUUUAAUUUUUAAUUUUUUUAUUGGACAUUAUAUAGAAAAUUUAUAAUAUGUAAAUUUUAAUUAUAUACAUAUAUUACAUAUAGAAUGAUUUGGUUUGUGAAUUAUAUAUUCAAUUAUCUUUAUCUAAUAGAGAUGAGACAUGUGGAACUUUGAAGAUUAGAUAUGUUAAUAAGUUGUUAAUAAAUAAUGAUGGGUUGAUGAACUGUUUAAAUAAUCGUUGGACUUUAGCUAUGUCAAGAGCUCACAGAUUUAGUGGCUCUACUCUUUAAACUCAUUUGGUGAAGUAACAUAUACUCGUAUCUUGGUUGUUUUUAUAUAAUUAGCUUAAUGUCUAAUUUAAAUAUUAGAUAUUAAAUAUAUAACUCUAAAAUUCUGUUACAUAAUCAUAACUGAAAGUGCCUAAUGACAUUCAAAUAAGUUAAGAAAAGUGCUGAGCAAAAAGUGCUCUAUAGUGUAAUAAAAACUCAUAAUGUAAACCUGAAUGUAAAAAAUUCAAGAAUAUAUCACAUUCAAAAAUGUGAACCGUGUGAUGUUGUGUAAAGAAUCGCUGCUGACCGCUAAUAUUAAUAAAUCAAUAUCAUGAACACGGACGGAACAUGACUUGACUGUUUGGUUUGAGAAUUUAAAUUUAUAUAUCGAAAGUUUAAUGGUAUUUGUUAGACUAUAAAAUGAUUUUUUUACGGGAUUACUUGGGAUAAGAAAUUAUUAUUCGAAACUUUCAAAGACUAGUACAACUAAUGCUUAUUUAAUUUGUUUAAUUGUUUCUCGUUAUCCUUGAAAUAUAUUUAUUAAUAAAAAUUAUAUAAACAACACUAAUGUUCUUACAAAUAUUAUUAUUUAAAAAAAUAUAAAUUAUGUUUACAUAUAAAAUUUAACAAAUCAUAUAAAAAUAUAAGUAAAAAUUAAUAAAAGUACAAGUAAAAAUUAAUAAAAAUAUAAGCAAAAAUAUAGAAACUUUAAGUAAAAUAUAUUUUUUAAAUGGAGAUUUUUUUAUUAACAAUUGAUUUUAGUAAAUUAUGAUUGAUUAUGGUGAAUAUAUUGGUGAUGAUAUUAACAAAUAUUGCUAUACAAUUAAUUUUAUAAAAUUAUCUUUAAUAACUAUUAAUGUAUUUGAAUUGGUUAAAAAUCUAAUGUAAUAAUUUAUAUUAUAUAUAUAUAUUUAUAUUUAUAUAUUUAUAUAUGAUUAUUAAGAAAAAUAUAAAAAUAUGUUGUUAAAAGUUUGGUUAGGGUAUAUAAACAUGUUGGACCGAGUAGAAAUGACAAUUAAAAUGUUGAUUGUAAGUAAUUAAAUAUAUCAGAUGUUGAAUUCUUAUUAUUAUGUAUACAUGUAUGCAGUAAACACAUUAACAUGAUUAAUAUGCAGAAUCAAAACAUCGGGGUUUGGUGGCUCGGAGUGAUCCUUGAGCACGGCAUCCUAGAGCCCCUAGGAUAUUGGCCUGUAAUACUUUUUAACCGCCUAAACGAUUACGCAGAACGGGUGGAAUGGGGUAGUGAAAUCAUCAAUCAGGAAAAUCUCGGUUGGCAUACCACGAUCGAAAUGGGAUCCGGAUAUAUGUCUGACAGCGUGUAUGGGAAAGCCGCCUAUAUGCGGAACCUAGAAGUCGCAUUGUCGGCAAAUGUCUUCAAGCCGCUCGAAGACCUCUUCGUAGGAUCUACUCACCCAAAUUAUUACCGAUCAAAGAAGUCAAACAGUUCUGCGUUUGGGGCCAACUUCUAUUACGGAAGUCCUAAACAACUCUUGCUCGCAGUCCAUCUUAAGUUGCACUCGUCUCUUGUUUAUAUAUGUUUCGCUGUGUGUUUUCUACUCUAGUUUCUUUUGGUUUGUUUGUUGUAUUUUGUUGGGGAGUUAAUAUGUUAUUUUGCUACAUGUAAGAGUUUCUUAUAGUAUGAACGUCGAGACAUAUAUUUUAACUCUGAUGUAAUAAUUGGAAAUGGUCUAAUUUCUGGAAUGAACUUGACCAAUCCAACAGAAAAAAAAAAAAGAAACCGGUUUUGGAGACACAACAAAGAAGAUGAGAGGUUAACCCUGUUUGGUCCUCAAUACCGGCGGAUAUUAACCGGUUUACUAUAUAUGCAACCGUGUAUAGAACCAACAAACCAAAACUAACUUAAAUAACGGACAAAAAAACGUGACGGCAAGGCUCGGAUCGGGAAGCUAUCAUGGUGGCAGAAUGUGAAUGUAUAUGGGAGUCAAAUUGGUCUUGUGGAUUUAUCCAUUCAGUAACUGCAAAAAUACGCCUCGUUUCACAUCCGAAGCUAUUGAAUAGAAACUCAUUAGUGAUUUCCAAAUAAACCAAAGUUCCCUAAUCCCUUUCGUUUCUUCUACUCAGUUAACUUGUAUUCAUCUCGCAUAUCUUUUCAUCUAAACGUAUGCUUAAUUUCUUCUUUAUCACUCUCUAAAAAGCAUUUUAAAUUAUUACUUGCAAUGAUGAAGUAUCGAACAGUUGAACAGUGACUAAUUAAGGCUUAAAAUUUUAGAGAGAGUAAGACACUAUCUCAAACACUGGCAGAAAACAACUGAAGCCUGAGUUGUAAUUCACUUUUUAUGACAUGUGCAGAGUAACAAUGAGGUCAAAAAGAAUAGCUGUUGGGUCCGUUUAAAGUGUAACACUCUAAUACUAGUACCAAGUACGAGAAAACUAAUGGAAUCUACAAGCAAAGAAGUAUUUCAAAAUCUAUCUUCCUUACGAAUCUGUUACCAAUGCUUUUCCAAACCGAAAAGGUUAGGCCACUUGAGGUGGAUAUCUCCUUCUGUAAGUCUCGGGGCCAAGAAGUUGAGCGAGUUCAAGCUCCUCCACAAUCUGAUGACUCUCACUCAAGAGACAAAGCAAAUUUGGUUAUACGGAAGUGACUAGACCAGUUUGGUUUGUGCAUAGACAUGAGCAGUCUGGUUCAGUAGAAUUUCUUAAGACAAGACGUUUUUCACGGUUACUCAUUAGCUUGAUGAGUGGUAGCUUCUGUGAGACUUGACGCCAGAUCUCCUUCACUGCUCCAUUUGGGUUAUCAUAAUCAAAAUACCGUCUUACCUAUAUGCCCCAUCAUCAUUCACGUGUGAGAAAACGUCUACUUAAAAGAGGUUAGAAGUUGAAUAAAUAGAGAAACGUACCUGUUUCAUCUCUCUUUGAUACUCAAGAACCUUCUCGGUUCCUAUUCUCCUCAGCAUCCCAACCAAGAACCCUGGCUCCAGAGCCACACCGGCCUCGACGAAAAUCGAAAACUUUCUGUAAUCUAUAACAUCUUCAAAAGGCAACUCGAUGCUAUCGCUUACAAUGACGGGCACACACAAGCUGACUAUGGAGUCAAAGAGUCUGCAUGCGGAUGGAGUGUCACCCGCAGGGUUUAGACAGAACUUUGAAGUAUGCAUUCCUUUCGUAGCCGCUCGUCGGUUCUCUCUUGAUUGAGUCCCAUGUUUGAUGGUUACAUCUUCUUCCUUUUCAAGUACUUGGAAUAGCAAAUCACGAACUUUCCCGCCCUAAAGACAGCCAAAAAAAAAAAAAGCAACUCAUAUUGUUCGUUUUGCUGACUAAUCGCAAAACAUUAUAUACAUGGUUAAAUAUUUUAGCGAUUUAAAAUUAAUUGUAACUAGUCCUGCUACGGACAAACAACAUUUGAUUGUAGAUCGCAACGACAUUCAAACCAACAUGCCCAUUGAUUUAAACUUACAUCUUUGCGGUAUCGAUUCCCCAUGAAGAAGAGCAACGUGCUGCGAGCCUCCACGCCAAUCUCUCCAGCGAAGAGAUUGACCCUAUGAGAGUAAGGUAUCACCACAUCUUUAACGAACGAUCCUUGAUCAGGCCUAAUCCUCCCAAAAUCCGCCACCAGGAGAACCGCGUUCUUGACCCGGUCCAAGAUCCGAUACAGCGCGUUCGGAUCACCCGCGGGAACCACGUGAUCUCUCCCUUUGUUCCUCCUCCACCACUCUUGGCUCUCAAGCCAGUCCAUCAACUCCUCCUGCAUCUUCUCGUCGCUGUAACCCGACCCGGGAUCCACGGGUCGACCCGCGUUCACGAUUAAACUGAGGGAAGAGAACACGGGGACGUAGAAAAGAUCAGCGUCGGCAGGAUCCGACACGCGGGUGAUCGGAGACCCGGGUCGAUCCGCCUCGGGUCGGUUUAGAUCCGAGAAGAGGUACCACUCGUGCAUAUGCUGGUGACCCGGAUACUUGAGCGUGGUGGGGUUCUUCAGCCCAUUGCGGACGAUUGCGUGCUGUUCGAUUACACCGUGAGUGAAUCUGUUGGGGAGAUCGUACAUGUAAACUUUAACUUUAGGAUGAAUCAGAGCACGUGGUUGUUCAUCUUCUUCGCGGAUGAGAUCGGAGGAGGAAGGGAGGGAGGGGCUGACGGAGGCGUUGAGGAUGACGUAGAUGGCGAUGACGGAGACGACGGCGAUGGCUGCUCGUUUGAGAAGGGAUGAUUUACGCGCCAUUGUUGGAAGCUUGUGUUAAGGGUUUUCAAGGGAGAAGAGAUUGAAGAAAUGUAACUUAUUAGCAGCUAAAGUCAAAGACUUGUGAAGAUGACUCGUCGUGAUUUAGGUUCGGUCCAAAUCUUCCAUAACAGCUUAUUUAUUUAUUUGUAUCAAUAGUUUUCAUUUUAAUAUUAAUUUAUUUUCUAUUAAAAAUAUUCUUAGAAAUUUAUCUUUUAUCAUGGACAUUUACUUUGUGAUCAUUUUACUUGUAUGAUUGUAUCUAGUAUGGGGCAAAAAAAUCAAAACAUAUAUAAAUGUCAAUAUAUAUAUAUCCACAUAUUAUAUUACAUAAAAUAAAAAGGCAAAUUUGUAUAUUAUAUAUUGUAUAAUAGUUGUAAAAAAAAUAUUGUAUAAUAUAAUCUGAAUCUAUACUAUAUUAAAAAAGGGUUAUAUGAGCAUCAGAGAGGAUGUCUACGUCCGACGAUAAAAUCUACCAAUCAAAGAUAGUUUUUCUGCCACGUCACAAUCAGGCUUCCCAAAAAAAUUGUGUCUAUCUGAAUCGUCUUUUCAUCUUUUUUCCUCAUACAAAACGUGAAGUUUCUUCAGAUGAUUGUCUUCUCAACUUCCAUAUCAUCCUCCAUCACUCAUAAUUAUAUAUUGAUCCAACCCAUAGAGACACUAACAAUAGAUUGAUUCGUCUGUUUGAUUCAAAAUCAUCACCUCCACUCAGUUCUAAAUACAAAUUUCCCAGUUUCAGAAUUCAGAUCGACCUGGGAGUACUCAACCGACGAAUAAUAACAGCCGGUAUCACUUUGGAUCGGCCGUUCAACCGUGAAUAAUUAUAAAAGAGCCCCUGGCGGCAGUGUUUACCGGCAAAGUCGUUGCUCAGGGUGGUGAAGAGAAAACAUGGGAGUGCGAGGGCUUUGGGAGCUACUCGCUCCCGUUGGUCGCCGCGUCUCUGUCGAAACCCUAGCCGGGAAACGAUUGGCUAUCGGUACACAUGAUUAAUCAACCUUCAUUGUACCUCGCUACUAAGAACCACCGUUUCUUAGCCGAAAAAUGUAAAAAAAAAUAAAAUGUCAAAUCAUGAGUUAACAGACCGUGGCUAAUCAUGCCUUUAGUUUCAUGGUUGGAAGUGGAUUUGCAUGAGUAGGGCCCAAAAUUUAUUAAGAAAAAUAUAUUAAUUGAUUAUUUACUGUAAAUCUCAAGGCUCUGUGCUUGAGUAGUGCCUUUUUUCCUGAAGAAUAUGUUUGAUGCUCUAGUAAACUUACUACUCUUUCCUCCAUUUCAGGCACAUCAAUGAGAGUCUGAGUUGUUCAUGUUCCAAGUUCUAUUCUGCAGCCAAAGCGCUGGAUGUUUAACAAAGGAUGCAUAUGCGAAGAUUUUACUUGGGCUAUGAUAUGUGGACUCCAAGCGUCUGUGAAGGAGCUGGUAAACUAGAUGGAUAAAGAUAACAUGGAUCAAGCAAAGGGUUAUGAACACGUUCGGUAUACUGCCGCCCCUGACCCUAGGAGUGAGGGGAUUGGCUCUAUGAAUCAAAGGUUUUCUCAAGAUUCUUCAACUAAUGUUAACAUGAAUGUACGACCUCCAGAUUAUGCUAUUCCCACCCCUGCUCGGCCAGUGCUGAACUACUCCAUACAGACUGGUGAAGAAUUUGCUUUUGAGUUUAUGAGAGAUAGGGUGAUUAUGAAACCGCAGUUCAUACCCAAUGUGUACGGUGAGCCGCCCAGUGGUAUGCCUGUUUCUGUUAAUUUAAGUGCUAUGGGAAUGGUUCUUCCGGUGUCAGAGAGUGGCUCUAACCCCACGGUGCUUAGCGCAGCAGAGAAACGCCAUACCUUUGAGCAAGAGAGAAAACCUCCUGCUAGAAAGGAAGAUAAGAGCUACCAUGAGCUUGUCAAGUCAGACCCGGCUAUUUCUUCAAGAAAUGACACUGGCCAAAGGGUUCACAGUUUGGUUUCCUCUAGAGCUUCUGAUAGCUCUUUGAACCAGGCAAAGUUCUUGUGUAGUUUUGGGGGUAGAAUCAUACCCCGCCCCAGAGAUCAGAAACUUAGAUAUGUAGGCGGUGAAACGCGUAUCAUACGGAUUAGCAAGGAUAUUUCUUUCCAAGAACUCAUGCAUAAAAUGUCAGAAAUGUUCCCUGAAGUACGUACCAUAAAAUAUCAGCUUCCAGGCGAAGAUCUUGAUGCCUUAGUCUCUGUAUCUUCUGAUGAGGAUUUACAAAACAUGAUGGAGGAAUGUAACGUAUUUGGUAAUGGAGGAUCUGAGAAGCCCAGGAUGUUCUUGCUUUCAAGCAGUGAUAUAGAGGAGGGUCAGUUCGGUAUGGAAGCUGCAGAGGGUGAUUCUGAGGUUCAGUAUGUUGUUGCUGUCAAUGGGAUGGAUCUUGGUUCACGUAAAAGUUCCCUUGGUAUAACUGCUCCAGGGAACAAUUUGGAUGAACUACUUCACAGUAAUACUGACAGGGAGAUCAGUCGAGCUGCCACAGAACCAGCAGUAGCUUCGGUUGCUCCCUUGGCUGGUAAUGAGUCUUUGUCAGCGGGCCAAACUUCUCAACCCGUGGCAGGUUUUUCUACUGGUAAUGAACCAUUUUCACAGCCUUAUCUAGGACAGCAAGUGCACUUCACCGGACUUGGUAACCACCAAGUUUACACAUCAGCUCACAUGGCAAGCAUCGGCUAUAUAGAUGAGAAGGGGUCUGCUCCGUUGCAUGUUCAACCACAGCCUCAUUUUAUUCCUUAUUCUGUGAAUCCUGAAACGCCUCUUGAAGUUGUGGCGCCUCACUAUCCACAUAAACCAGAGCAAGGAGUUUUGCAUGAUGAGCAGAUCUACCAUGUACAAGAUUCAGAAGCUUCAACAAAAGAGGCCAAAAUGAGAAGAGAUGACUCGUUUAAGAAGGUAACUGAUCCUGCUAAUGUAUCUACUGUCGGGACCAGUCUUUCAGCAAAGGAACCAAAGAUGAGGAUAGAAUCAUCAACUCCAAGGGUCAGUGAGUACUCUGUUUCCUCUACGUCUGAUUUGAAAGUCCCAGAUCACGUCCUGAAGGAAGAAGCCCCGGUUUCCACACAAGUAUCCGAUUCAACACCAAAUCCAAGUACCUCAGCUUGUCCAGAGAAAAGUGGUAGAAAAUCCCAGGAUCAUGUUGAGAAUAAUCUUUCAGCAAAGGAGCCAAAGAUGAGAAAAGAACAGUCCACCACAAGGGCCAGUGAGUAUUCCAUCUCCUCUGUAUCAAGUGAUUCUAUGGUCCCAGAUCACACCCUCAAGGAAGAAGCUCCUGUUUCCAUGCAAAUAUCCAACUCAACACCAAAUCCAAGUUCCUUUUUUUACCCAGAAGGAAGUCUUAAAACACCUCAGGAAUAUGUUCCGAAAACGGCUGCCUUAGAUACAGCAAAUGAAGGCAUAAAAAUCUAUCAGGAGAACCAAUUUUCUCUGCCUGGGAGAAUCUCUGGAUCGGGGCUUGUUACUUCAGAUGGUGAUUCAUCGAAUGUGAGUAAUGUCGACCAGCAGAUGCUUCAUCAAAGGGUAUUUCAUUCUGAGCGCAUUCCACGAGAUAUGGCAGAAAGUAAACGUUUGUCUAAAUCUGAUGAUUCCCUUGGUUCCCAAUUUGUAAUGGCUAAGUCAACUUCAGAUGCAUUCCUACCUAUUAGCGAAUCAGCUGAAACUUUUCAUGAAGCUAAUAUGGAGUCCCAGAAUGUUCAUUCUAGCGCACCAGUAAGGCCAGCUCCUGAAAGUCUCUGGACAGCUGAGGGUAGUAUCUCACAAUCUGAAAAAAAGGACUUGGAACGUAACGCCCCAGAGCACGUAAGUCAGUCAGAGGCUUCAGAUAAGGCUGUUCCGCGAGGACACCUAGAGAACGGGGAUAUUGUUGUUGAUAUUAAUGAUAGGUUUCCUCGUGAUUUUCUUGCUGAUAUAUUGAAAGUGAAAGAGUCUCUAAGCUUCCCUGGAUUAGGGCCAUUGCAUGGUGAUGGAGCUGGAGUGAGUGUAAAUGUUCAGAAUCUUGACCCUAAAAAUUGGUCGUAUUUUCGAAAUUUGGCGCAGGAUGAGUUUGAGAGGAAGGAUCUAUCCCUUAUGGAUCAGGACCACCCUGGAUUUCCCACUUCCCUUACUAAUACCGACGGAGUUCCUAUUGAUUAUAGCUACCCACCAUUGCAAUCUGAGAAAGUUGCUCCAACUCGGUUAAAACCACAAAUCCACUUUGAUGAGAAUAUCCAGCCGCAUGUGUCCACUACUGUCGUGGCUGAUUCGAGAACAGCAGACACACAAGAAGAUUAUGGUCAGUCACAGUUCAAAGGUGCUGAAACCACAGAUGCAAAUGUGGUACGCUUUUUUUUUUCAACCCAAAUAUGAAAAAUCUAAUAAAAUUUAACUACCGGAAAAAUACAUGUUUCAACUAAUAUAUUUGGAUAUGUAGAAUACUGGAGUUCCUCUUAUUGACCUUGUUGCUGAGGACAGUAGCCACAGGUCUCUGCAGGUAUGCUAUGCCUUAGUUAGUUUAUGGCUUAACAUGUUUACUAGGUGUUGCAUUUAACGCUCUCUUUUUAACCAGAUAACAUGUUUACAACCCAAGUACCAAAAGGAUUUUAUAUUUUAUCAACCAAGUUAUGACUUUCCAAUCAAUGAUUUAGCUGCCUUUCUAUUUUUUGGUAUUUGUCUGUUAUUGUUUUAAGGAAUUUUUUAGAAAGAUCACAAUGUACGCUGCUUAUAGACUAGACUAAAGUAGUGCAUGUCCCCAUUGGCAGCCGAAACCAUUGGAGCUUAAGAAUUAUAUCGUCAAUCUUGCUCCUGGUUUUCUCACUGAUUGUGUCCAUUUUAUUUUUGUUUCAGGUCAUUAAAAAUGAUGACUUGGAAGAACUGAAGGAACUAGGUUCUGGUACCUUUGGAACUGUUUACCAUGGAAAAUGGAGGGGUACAGAUGUUGCUAUCAAGCGAAUAAAAAGGAGCUGUUUCAUUGGUCGUUCAUCUGAACAAGAGAGACUGGUAAGUAGAUUUGAUAUCCCGUGGUUCUCCCAAAUUACAUUAUUUGUCUGCUUUAUGGUCAAUAGAGUACUGCUAGAAGACACUACUACUGUCCCCAGAACAGAGCCGUUUUGCUGUUCUUUUUUCUCUUGCAUGAAGCGGCUGUUAGAUGCUUGUUAUAAGCACGAAUUUGACAUCUCCUAUAUAGUAUAGUUUUACUAAAUUUGUCCUCCACUGCAGAAUAACGCUUCUUACUAUCCAUAAAACCGCAUUAGUUUAACUGAUUUUCAUUUUCAGUAACCAAUGAUUGAAAAUUUCAGACCUCUGAGUUCUGGCAUGAAGCUGAAAUUCUUUCCAAGCUACAUCAUCCAAAUGUGAUGGCAUUCUACGGCGUAGUGAGAGAUGGGCCAGGAGGGACUUUAGCUACAGUGACAGAGUACAUGGUCAAUGGAUCGCUUAGACAUGUUCUGCUCAGCAACAGGUAAUUAUUUACACAUCUCGUUGCUAUUCUUGCUUUCUAAAAACAACUUUAGAUGUAAACCAGUUCACAUUUGGGGAAUUACAGGCAGAUUGAUCGACGUAAGCGACUCAUCAUUGCAAUGGAUGCAGCUUUUGGAAUGGAGUAUUUGCACUCAAAGAACAUAGUGCAUUUCGAUUUGAAGUGUGACAACUUGCUUGUCAACUUAAAGGAUCCCGCCCGUCCUAUAUGCAAGGUAAUUUUCUCGGAGAGUUCGACAUGUAACAUUGCCAUGCAUGUUGUUUUGCUUAUGUGAUAAGAGGGAGGAUGGUUUAUGCAGGUUGGUGAUUUUGGUCUGUCAAAGAUAAAAAGAAACACUUUGGUCACUGGUGGUGUAAGAGGAACCCUCCCUUGGAUGGCUCCCGAACUACUUAGUGGCAGCAGCAGCAAAGUUUCUGAAAAGGUAUGUAACCCAAUGCUCUCACACUAGCGUUGGAAGAUGAAUUCAGUUUCUAUUCAUUUAGUUUCACUGCCCUUAAAUGAUUUUCAAGUAAUGUUUCGCCUUCAUUUACAAACAGGUCGAUGUGUUCUCUUUCGGAAUAGUUUUGUGGGAAAUUCUUACCGGUGAGGAACCCUACGCCAAUAUGCAUUACGGAGCAAUCAUUGGUAAAUUGCUGUCUCUUCUGUCGUUUACUCUCCGCGUUUCUUUUCUUACCAAACAAGGUUGAAGCUUAAUCUGUUUUGGUUGUCUGAAUCUUUCACCUAUUGUAGGAGGCAUAGUGAACAAUACACUGAGACCAACCGUGCCAAGCUACUGUGACCCGGAAUGGAGGAUGCUGAUGGAGCAGUGUUGGGCUCCUGACCCAUUUGUUCGACCUUCCUUCCCAGAGAUAGCCAGACGUCUCCGCACCAUGUCCACCUCUGCAGCAAAAGCCCACGCGGCCAAUCACCAAGUCCACAAGUAAUCUACUAUAUGUUCAUUAUUACCGGUACGUAAUUCCCUCUUGUAAAAGUUUGUGUAUAAAAAACAUCGCUGCGUCUUCU
RNAcentral lists this long non-coding RNA (12844 nucleotides) under Brassica napus (rape). RNAcentral's name for it is "long non-coding RNA (BNAP_LNC002243)". Lineage: Eukaryota; Viridiplantae; Streptophyta; Magnoliopsida; Brassicales; Brassicaceae. The record is from RNAcentral.